Molecule: ribosomal RNA, 253 nt
Filed under: uncultured bacterium
Lineage: Bacteria
Description: partial 16S ribosomal RNA
Rfam family: Bacterial small subunit ribosomal RNA
Source: RNAcentral
UACGUAGGGUGCAAGCGUUAAUCGGAAUUAGUGGGCGUAAAGCGUGCGCAGGCGGUUUUGUAAGUCUGACGUGAAAUCCCCGGGCUCAACCUGGGAAUUGCGGUGGAGACUGCAAGGCUAGAAUCUGGCAGAGGGGGGUAGAAUUCCACGUGUAGCAGUGAAAUGCGUAGAGAUGUGGAGGAACACCGAUGGCGAAGGCAGCCCCCUGGGUCAAGAUUGACGCUCAUGCACGAAAGCGUGGGGAGCAAACAGG